This 54-nucleotide small nuclear RNA is filed under the name Octodon degus (degu). Lineage: Eukaryota; Metazoa; Chordata; Mammalia; Rodentia; Octodontidae. The record is from RNAcentral.
GUGCUCUCUUCAGCAGCACAUAUACUAAAAUUGGAAUGAUACAGAGAAGAUUAG